This 303-nucleotide ribosomal RNA is filed under the name uncultured bacterium. Its description in RNAcentral is "partial 16S ribosomal RNA". It matches the Rfam family "Bacterial small subunit ribosomal RNA", at positions 507 to 808 of the family's 1533-position model. The record is from RNAcentral.
AGCAGUCGCCGCGGUAAUACGAAGGGUGCAAGCGUUACUCGGAAUUACUGGCGUAAAGCGUGCGUAGGUGGUGGUUUAAGUCCGUUGUGAAAGCCCUGGGCUCAACCUGGGAAUUGCAGUGGAUACUGGGUCACUAGAGUGUGGUAGAGGAUAGUGGAAUUUCCGGUGUAGCAGUGACAUGCGUAGAGAUCGGAAGGAACAUCUGUGGCGAAGGCGACUAUCUGGGCCAACACUGACACUGAUGCACGAAAGCGUGGGGAGCAAACAGGAUUAGAUACCCGCGUAGUCCCUGUCUCUUAUACA